This is a non-coding RNA of Seriola aureovittata, 1379 nucleotides long. The record is from the annotation of a RefSeq genome assembly. Lineage: Eukaryota; Metazoa; Chordata; Actinopteri; Carangiformes; Carangidae.
ACAUCAUGUUUCAAAUGUUGCUGAGUGAAUCAACCUGUAAAACAGCAGCAGGCCAGCGUCCAGAUCAGGAUGGUGAUGAGAGUCAUGGUGGUUGUGCUUUCUGCUGUGUUGACUGACAGAUCUGAGUCCUGCACUGUUCAACUCACAGGACUAUAAACCUUCUCAGUUCACUGGAGGAUCAGCUGACGAUGCAAAGCCUCCUCUCUAUGGAAAUGAUUUCUCUGCUCUCAACAGACUGAAGGCAACGUGGGAAACAACAUCAGGAGAAAUGCUGCUUGGAUUUACACUAAAUAUGAUCUUAAUGGAAGAGAAGGAAAUAUUUAUAUUAGAAGUGCAGUUGAGGAUUUAAGGAUCAGUUUGUGUCCACUGUGGUUGGUAUGAUGUGUCUGUUUGUCUGCCUUUAGUGUUUACUCUACAUUAUUCUAUAUUUUAAUGAUGCUUAAAAUGAAUCAUUAUCAUUAAAAGGAUCAUGUUCAUUUAACCACGUAUCAACUGAUAUAAACUGUGAAAAAUGUGACUUUAUUACAAGGAGACUGUGAUGGUUUCUCUGUCAGGUUUAGAAAAGUUCAACAAAACUGAAGAAAUCAUCUUAAUUUAUACAUUAUUUACAAUCUAUACCUUUAAAACAAUUUGUAGAUUAAAAUAGUUUAUAUUUUAUUGAGUUAUCAGAACAAGGAGAGGUUGUUUUCAGUGGAUAGAAGCUUGUUCACAGUGCAGGAGGUUUUUGUACGGCCACUUCAUGAGUUUGUAUCACUGUGGUACACUUUUGGUGGAGGAACCAAACUCGUCAUUUACUCUGGCUCCAUGGUCAGGCCCUCAGUCUCUCUGCUUCCCCCGUCCUCUGAGCAGCUCUCCGGGGGCUCGGCCACACUGGCCUGCCUGCUGACCGGCUACUCUCCUCAGGGAGCCGUGGUGAGCUGGGAGGUGGACGGUACAGAGGUGACAGACGGGGUCCUGACCGGCUCAGAGGAGGAGAAGAGCGGACGCUACAGCAGCAGCAGCACCCUGAGCCUGAGCCAGGAGCGCUGGAUGGAAGGAGAGCUGUACUCCUGCAAGGUCCUCCAUCAUGGCCACAGCCAGAUCCAGUCCCUCCGCAGGAGCAAGUGUCAGGGCUAGAGGGUCUGACUGAAGCCCAGGACAGGAGCUGUGUCUGGGGGGAGCAGGAGGAACACCCCUGCUGCUCUGAUCAAUAUGAGUUUUAAUGUUUGUAGAGGAAAGUGAAGCUUUGUGUGACAGAGAAAAACACUGCUGCAAAGUGUUGGACAACAACAAGUCAGAGAGUAAUGUGCAGAGCUCAGCAGCUGGAUGUGAGUGUGCUUGAUAACUGUCAUGUUGAUGACUGAUGUUUUUACUAAUAAAGCUUGAACUGAUGAAUAACA